Molecule: small nucleolar RNA, 110 nt
Filed under: Drosophila willistoni
Lineage: Eukaryota; Metazoa; Arthropoda; Insecta; Diptera; Drosophilidae
Description: snoRNA:GK26509
Source: RNAcentral
GGACAGAUCUGAUAUCGUGUUUCGGCCCAAAAUUGCUUGCCGCUAUACAGUAUCAAAUAGAUUUGCCCAGAUUAAACGUGUUCUCAUAGUCCACUUUGUUAGUUUAUCGU